GACGAACGCUGGCGGCGUGCUUAACACAUGCAAGUCGAACGGAAAGGCCCUGCUUUUGUUGGGUGCUCGAGCGGCGAACGGGUGAGUAACACGUGAGUAACCUGCCCUUGACUUUGGGAUAACUUCAGGAAACUGGGGCUAAUACCGGAUAGGAGCUCCUGCUGCAUGGUGGGGGUUGGAAAGUUUCGGCGGUUGGGGAUGGACUCGCGGCUUAUCAGCUUGUUGGUGGGGUAGUGGCUUACCAAGGCUUUGACGGGUAGCCGGCCUGAGAGGGUGACCGGCCACAUUGGGACUGAGAUACGGCCCAGACUGCUACGGGAGGCAGCAGGGGGGAAUAUUGCACAAUGGGCGGAAGCCUGAUGCAGCAACGCCGCGUGCGGGAUGACGGCCUUCGGGUUGUAAACCGCUUUCGCCUGCGACGAAGCGUGAGUGACGGUAAUGGGUAAAGAAGCACCGGCUAACUACGUG
RNAcentral lists this ribosomal RNA (468 nucleotides) under uncultured bacterium. Its description in RNAcentral is "partial 16S ribosomal RNA". It matches the Rfam family "Bacterial small subunit ribosomal RNA", at positions 28 to 507 of the family's 1533-position model. The record is from RNAcentral.